This 1041-nucleotide long non-coding RNA is filed under the name Lepisosteus oculatus (spotted gar). RNAcentral's name for it is "lncRNA (ENSLOCG00000021422.1)". The record is from RNAcentral. Lineage: Eukaryota; Metazoa; Chordata; Actinopteri; Semionotiformes; Lepisosteidae.
AAUGUUUAGUGGCCAUGGUAAACUGCUGUAUAUCAUAAUGUCAUGCAAGAGGCAACCUGCAGAUUAGCGGUGUCACGAAACAUUACUGUUGGAACUUAUAGCCCAGUACUGUCAACAAAUCCAGGGCAGGGGGAGGACGAUGAUGCCUGAGCCUUCCUCUGCAGCUAUCUGAAGAGCUCUUCUCUGCUCUCUGAGUCCUCUGAGUAUGAAGGGUCAACACAAAGUGGAGAGUGAGCUGGAGUGGGUAAGAGGAGGGUUAUUCUGACUCAGGUGUGUUCAUGGUCUUUUCAGACUCGACCCCAGAAAGCCUGUGAGGGGAGCAAAACACAGCACAGGAGGAAAGACAGAUGGGCUGUAAGGUCAGGUAAGGUGGACACAGUGUCCACAGCUGGGACCCCAGACAGCACUGGGGACCCUGGGGCCCAGCAGAAGGGACAGCUGGACACACGACCUUACAGCCAGGGAGAGGAGGUCUCCUGUGUGGUCCAGACUGAGCUCCCCCAACACAGUAGCAGGAGUGCUGACAGGGCGCCCCCAGGUGGUGAGCAGCAGCACACUGAGAAGAUGAGGAGCUCAGGUCUAGGAGGGGGCAGAGACCAGCAGCCCUCUUCCUCACUGGACAGCUCCAGUGUCGCGUGCUGCUCUCCAGGACAGCGCCUCCUCUCAGCGUCAGAGCGGCCUUCAGAGAGACCACCCAGCUCCUGGGGUAGUGAACCGCCCAUUCAGACAGUUCUAGGAGCGGAUUCACACACUCAUCACAAGAAGCCAUGACCAGCGUUGCUUCUCUCCUGAGUGCCUUGAUUUUUAUAAGUGAGCUUACUUCCACCAGCAAGCAAUGGCCGAUAAAAGUAAUAACAUCUCUGUUGCUUUACUUUACUUUUCCAGAACUGCAACGAGGGACAUUUAUUGAAGAAUAUAUUCAGAAAUCUAGCUUGAUUGACUGACAUCUUCUUUCUGAUCUAGCUAGGAUCACAUUUUGUAAUAUCCACUAUUCAAAACCGACAAUAUUUCAAACUGUGAGAAUCAUACUUUAAUAAUAUG